This 768-nucleotide ribosomal RNA is filed under the name uncultured Pelagibacterales bacterium. RNAcentral's name for it is "bacterial SSU rRNA". It matches the Rfam family "Bacterial small subunit ribosomal RNA", at positions 584 to 1351 of the family's 1533-position model. Lineage: Bacteria; Pseudomonadati; Pseudomonadota; Alphaproteobacteria; Candidatus Pelagibacterales. The record is from RNAcentral.
UUAGUUAAUUGUGAAAUCCCAAAGCUUAACUUUGGAACUGCAAUUAAAACUGCUCGACUAGAGUUUGAUAGAGGAAAGCGGAAUACAUAGUGUAGAGGUGAAAUUCGUAGAUAUUAUGUAGAACACCAGUUGCGAAGGCGGCUUUCUGGAUCAACACUGACGCUGAGGCGCGAAAGUAUGGGUAGCAAAGAGGAUUAGAUACCCUCGUAGUCCAUACCAUAAACGAUGAUUGCUAGAUGUUGGAAAUUUAUUUUCAGUAUCGCAGCUAACGCAUUAAGCAAUCCGCCUGGGGAGUACGGCCGCAAGGUUAAAACUCAAAUGAAUUGACGGGGACCCGCACAAGCGGUGGAGCAUGUGGUUUAAUUCGAAGAUACGCGCAGAACCUUACCAACCCUUGACAUGUCUGUCGCGAGUUUAGGAAACUAGACUUUUCGGUUCGGCCGGACAGAACACAGGUGCUGCAUGGCUGUCGUCAGCUCGUGUCGUGAGAUGUUGGGUUAAGUCCCGCAACGAGCGCAACCCCUACUUUUAGUUGCCAUCAGGUCAUGCUGGGCACUCUGAAAGAACUGCCAGUGAUAAGCUGGAGGAAGGUGGGGAUGACGUCAAGUCCUCAUGGCCCUUACGGGUUGGGCUACACACGUGCUACAAUGGUAGUGACAAUGAGGUGCAAAGUGGCGACGCUAAGCUAAACUCAAAAAUCUACUUCAGUUCGGAUUGCACUCUGCAACUCGAGUGCAUGAAGCUGGAAUCGCUAGUAAUCGUAGAUCA